RNAcentral lists this ribosomal RNA (163 nucleotides) under Braya scharnhorstii. RNAcentral's name for it is "5.8S ribosomal RNA". The stretch from base 88 to 163 matches the Rfam family "5.8S ribosomal RNA", at positions 1 to 76 of the family's 154-position model. Lineage: Eukaryota; Viridiplantae; Streptophyta; Magnoliopsida; Brassicales; Brassicaceae. The record is from RNAcentral.
CAAGGAACAUGCAACAAAACAGCUUGCAUUCGUCUCCCCGGUCACGGUGUGUGUGCGAAUGCUUAGCUGCAAUCUAAAGUCUAAAACGACUCUCGGCAACGGAUAUCUCGGCUCUCGCAUCGAUGAAGAACGUAGCGAAAUGCGAUACUUGGUGUGAAUUGCA